AUCCAGUUGAUAAGUCCCAAAUAAGACGAAACGCAUGUCCUGGAU
This 45-nucleotide non-coding RNA is filed under the name Schistosoma margrebowiei. The record is from RNAcentral. Lineage: Eukaryota; Metazoa; Platyhelminthes; Trematoda; Strigeidida; Schistosomatidae.